This is a long non-coding RNA of Toxotes jaculatrix (banded archerfish), 236 nucleotides long. RefSeq lists it as uncharacterized. NCBI's taxonomy places the organism in Eukaryota, Metazoa, Chordata, Actinopteri, Toxotidae. The record is from RefSeq and is a predicted model, not a curated record. The transcript has 3 exons.
CCCAGAAACUGUCAACACAGUCAUCCCCUCAGAGAAGAAAGGAGACUCUGAAAAAACAGACAUGUGUCUAAGGGAAACUGGGGAAAAUGGAGCCACCAGUGCAUAUUGACAGUCUGCUGGAAUGCUCUUGGUGCUAUCUCAGUCGAGGGCCUGUCUGCUCCUCCCUGCCUUCCUGCUGGCCUGUUCCAGCCGUUACAGUGUGGGGACGCCAUGAUAACGUUAUCAGACAGCCUCCA